GGGUUGUGAGGUUAAGCGACUAAGCGUACACGGUGGAUGCCCUGGCAGUCAGAGGCGAUGAAGGACGUGCUAAUCUGCGAUAAGCGUCGGUAAGGUGAUAUGAACCGUUAUAACCGGCGAUUUCCGAAUGGGGAAACCCAGUGUGUUUCGACACACUAUCAUUAACUGAAUCCAUAGGUUAAUGAGGCGAACCGGGGGAACUGAAACAUCUAAGUACCCCGAGGAAAAGAAAUCAACCGAGAUUCCCCCAGUAGCGGCGAGCGAACGGGGAGCAGCCCAGAGCCUGAAUCAGUGUGUGUGUUAGUGGAAGCGUCUGGAAAGGCGCGCGAUACAGGGUGACAGCCCCGUACACAAAAAUGCACAUACUGUGAGCUCGAUGAGUAGGGCGGGACACGUGGUAUCCUGUCUGAAUAUGGGGGGACCAUCCUCCAAGGCUAAAUACUCCUGACUGACCGAUAGUGAACCAGUACCGUGAGGGAAAGGCGAAAAGAACCCCGGCGAGGGGAGUGAAAAAGAACCUGAAACCGUGUACGUACAAGCAGUGGGAGCACGCUUCGGCGUGUGACUGCGUACCUUUUGUAUAAUGGGUCAGCGACUUAUAUUCUGUAGCAAGGUUAACCGAAUAGGGGAGCCGAAGGGAAACCGAGUCUUAACUGGGCGUUAAGUUGCAGGGUAUAGACCCGAAACCCGGUGAUCUAGCCAUGGGCAGGUUGAAGGUUGGGUAACACUAACUGGAGGACCGAACCGACUAAUGUUGAAAAAUUAGCGGAUGACUUGUGGCUGGGGGUGAAAGGCCAAUCAAACCGGGAGAUAGCUGGUUCUCCCCGAAAGCUAUUUAGGUAGCGCCUCGUGAAUUCAUCUCCGGGGGUAGAGCACUGUUUCGGCAAGGGGGUCAUCCCGACUUACCAACCCGAUGCAAACUGCGAAUACCGGAGAAUGUUAUCACGGGAGACACACGGCGGGUGCUAACGUCCGUCGUGAAGAGGGAAACAACCCAGACCGCCAGCUAAGGUCCCAAAGUCAUGGUUAAGUGGGAAACGAUGUGGGAAGGCCCAGACAGCCAGGAUGUUGGCUUAGAAGCAGCCAUCAUUUAAAGAAAGCGUAAUAGCUCACUGGUCGAGUCGGCCUGCGCGGAAGAUGUAACGGGGCUAAACCAUGCACCGAAGCUGCGGCAGCGACACUAUGUGUUGUUGGGUAGGGGAGCGUUCUGUAAGCCUGUGAAGGUGUGCUGUGAGGCAUGCUGGAGGUAUCAGAAGUGCGAAUGCUGACAUAAGUAACGAUAAAGCGGGUGAAAAGCCCGCUCGCCGGAAGACCAAGGGUUCCUGUCCAACGUUAAUCGGGGCAGGGUGAGUCGACCCCUAAGGCGAGGCCGAAAGGCGUAGUCGAUGGGAAACAGGUUAAUAUUCCUGUACUUGGUGUUACUGCGAAGGGGGGACGGAGAAGGCUAUGUUGGCCGGGCGACGGUUGUCCCGGUUUAAGCGUGUAGGCUGGUUUUCCAGGCAAAUCCGGAAAAUCAAGGCUGAGGCGUGAUGACGAGGCACUACGGUGCUGAAGCAACAAAUGCCCUGCUUCCAGGAAAAGCCUCUAAGCAUCAGGUAACAUUAAAUCGUACCCCAAACCGACACAGGUGGUCAGGUAGAGAAUACCAAGGCGCUUGAGAGAACUCGGGUGAAGGAACUAGGCAAAAUGGUGCCGUAACUUCGGGAGAAGGCACGCUGAUAUGUAGGUGAAGUCCCUCGCGGAUGGAGCUGAAAUCAGUCGAAGAUACCAGCUGGCUGCAACUGUUUAUUAAAAACACAGCACUGUGCAAACACGAAAGUGGACGUAUACGGUGUGACGCCUGCCCGGUGCCGGAAGGUUAAUUGAUGGGGUUAGCGGUAACGCGAAGCUCUUGAUCGAAGCCCCGGUAAACGGCGGCCGUAACUAUAACGGUCCUAAGGUAGCGAAAUUCCUUGUCGGGUAAGUUCCGACCUGCACGAAUGGCGUAAUGAUGGCCAGGCUGUCUCCACCCGAGACUCAGUGAAAUUGAACUCGCUGUGAAGAUGCAGUGUACCCGCGGCAAGACGGAAAGACCCCGUGAACCUUUACUAUAGCUUGACACUGAACAUUGAGCCUUGAUGUGUAGGAUAGGUGGGAGGCUUUGAAGUGUGGACGCCAGUCUGCAUGGAGCCGACCUUGAAAUACCACCCUUUAAUGUUUGAUGUUCUAACGUUGACCCGUAAUCCGGGUUGCGGACAGUGUCUGGUGGGUAGUUUGACUGGGGCGGUCUCCUCCUAAAGAGUAACGGAGGAGCACGAAGGUUGGCUAAUCCUGGUCGGACAUCAGGAGGUUAGUGCAAUGGCAUAAGCCAGCUUGACUGCGAGCGUGACGGCGCGAGCAGGUGCGAAAGCAGGUCAUAGUGAUCCGGUGGUUCUGAAUGGAAGGGCCAUCGCUCAACGGAUAAAAGGUACUCCGGGGAUAACAGGCUGAUACCGCCCAAGAGUUCAUAUCGACGGCGGUGUUUGGCACCUCGAUGUCGGCUCAUCACAUCCUGGGGCUGAAGUAGGUCCCAAGGGUAUGGCUGUUCGCCAUUUAAAGUGGUACGCGAGCUGGGUUUAGAACGUCGUGAGACAGUUCGGUCCCUAUCUGCCGUGGGCGCUGGAGAACUGAGGGGGGCUGCUCCUAGUACGAGAGGACCGGAGUGGACGCAUCACUGGUGUUCGGGUUGUCAUGCCAAUGGCACUGCCCGGUAGCUAAAUGCGGAAGAGAUAAGUGCUGAAAGCAUCUAAGCACGAAACUUGCCCCGAGAUGAGUUCUCCCUGACUCCUUGAGAGUCCUGAAGGAACGUUGAAGACGACGACGUUGAUAGGCCGGGUGUGUAAGCGCAGCGAUGCGUUGAGCUAACCGGUACUAAUGAACCGUGAGGCUUAACCUUACAACGCCGAAGGUGU
RNAcentral lists this ribosomal RNA (2930 nucleotides) under Escherichia coli. RNAcentral describes it as "partial 23S ribosomal RNA". It matches the Rfam family "Bacterial large subunit ribosomal RNA". Lineage: Bacteria; Pseudomonadati; Pseudomonadota; Gammaproteobacteria; Enterobacterales; Enterobacteriaceae. The record is from RNAcentral.